UACGGAGGGUGCGAGCGUUGUCCGGAAUCACUGGGCGUAAAGGGCGCGUAGGCGGCCUGAUAAGUAGGGGGUGAAAUCCUGCGGCUUAACCGCAGGGCUGCCUUCUAAACUGUCAGGCUAGAGCACAGUAGAGGCAGGUGGAAUUCCCGGUGUAGCGGUGGAAUGCAUAGAGAUCGGGAAGAACAUCAGUGGCGAAGGCGGCCUGCUGGGCUGUUGCUGACGCUGAGGCGCGACAGCGUGGGGAGCAAACAGG
RNAcentral lists this ribosomal RNA (253 nucleotides) under uncultured bacterium. RNAcentral describes it as "partial 16S ribosomal RNA". It matches the Rfam family "Bacterial small subunit ribosomal RNA", at positions 524 to 776 of the family's 1533-position model. The record is from RNAcentral.